UUUCCGUAGGUGAACCUGCGGAAGGAUCAUUACAGAGUUCAUGCCCUCACGGGUAGAUCUCCCACCCUUGAAUAUUAUACCUUCGUUGCUUUGGCAGGCCGUGGAAACACCGGAGGCUCCGGCUGAUGCGUGCCUGCCAGAGGAAACAAACUCUGUUUUUAGUGAUGUCUGAGUACUAUAUAAUAGUUAAAACUUUCAACAACGGAUCUCUUGGUUCUG
RNAcentral lists this unclassified non-coding RNA (219 nucleotides) under plant metagenome. RNAcentral describes it as "partial contains small subunit ribosomal RNA, internal transcribed spacer 1, and 5.8S ribosomal RNA". The record is from RNAcentral.